Tribolium castaneum (red flour beetle) is the source of this 921-nucleotide long non-coding RNA. RefSeq lists it as uncharacterized. The transcript has 3 exons. The record is from RefSeq and is a predicted model, not a curated record. NCBI's taxonomy places the organism in Eukaryota, Metazoa, Arthropoda, Insecta, Coleoptera, Tenebrionidae.
ACUUUUGCUGCUUUGACUUGCGUUUCAGAAAAUGACAAUUUGUUAAUUUUUUUGAAAUCAAAGGUGAAAUACCCUCUAGGAAAGUUGUCGGCACAAUCCAUUGGUAAAUAAAAGAAUCGCUGGUAGUAAUUCCCACAUGUCUGGAAUAGACAACAUCUAACGGCCGAAUUGAGACCUUGGAAUCCUCAGGAUGGAGCGAAAGUGUAUUAAGAGGCAGGGCAGGCAGGCAGGCAGGCAGGCAGGGCCGAGCCUGUACCUCUAAGCAGGAGCGACUUGCAGAUGAGCGCUCGGAGCUUGGGGCCGCGAAGGGCGAGACUUGACCCCAGCCGGGCGUCUUGCUUUCCUCACAGACCAUUUACCGGCUCACUACAUUUGCCGAGGCUCAUUAUUAACACCGCCGAAGCUAAGUCAACGUUUGCUGAGGUGCGCUGCUUACUAAUUUCAAUAGAUUAACCGCGCACAUUUAACCCAUUCGCCUAAAUCGAGUUAUUUGUAAUUAACUAGCUUCCACUUGGAGGAGGAGGAGGAGGUGGAGGAGAGCCCACCCCAAAGCCAACCGCCACCGCAUUCGAUUAUUACCAUCAUCGGAAAAUUCUAUUAUUAUCCUUUGAAAAACAAACAAUAAAAACGCAGUAUGGAGAGCCUAUUAGCCUCUUAAAUUUGGCGAGUCUGCGAUGGGUUUCCUUUAGUUACUUUACGGUUAUGUCGUAGAUGCGGCGCAAGGAACAUGCUGCUGGCUCAUUACAUAUCUGAAUAACUGAACCGUGCCUGGGUAAUGUUAUUUUUAUACGACAUAAAGUAGUAACGACAUGUUGGAGACACAAUAAGCGUCGAGUGUGCCCCAAUAUCGACUGCUCCAGCUCCGUUCUUCCAAACACAAUUUACAGAUAAGCAUUCUAAUUACUGACAUUAAUUAAAAAC